UCAAAGUGCUUGUGUGUGUUUGUCUAAAUAUGUUCUUUGUCCUACAGGGAGUUUUUGGCACAACACUAUCUGUUGUUCUCUGCUUUCUGUGCGUGUGAUAUACUACUGAUUAAUUUUUAAUACAUAUCAAGGCUCAGUGCUGCAUGGAAAUUCUAUCCUUUAAUUGGGAACUUUUUCUUCCUUAAUUACAGAAGGGACAAAUCAAGCUAUGGUUACAUAGCUGAUCAGAAGGAAGAGCCAGGCUUGACUGCUUCACACCAAGCACUAAACCUUAAAUGAAGGGAAAACAGUUUACGAUCAAGUUCAAGAUAACAGCAUAACGCAAACAAUAAACUAAAACUAAACUAAAACUGUUAGGCUCAAUAAGGAAAAAAAAUGCAGCAUGCUAAAUCCCAUCAGCAGUAUAAAAACUGUAAAAUUCCCACAGUGGCCAAUUAGAUGCUUUGAGAAGACCACAAGAGCGUUUCCUAACAUUCGUGUAUGUUCAUUUGCUAUCAGUAUUCAAAGGCAUAUUGUCUCAGGUGGUGAAUGCUAAUAUGCAGCCAUUAUGAUCUGUGGUGCCCAGGGUAGGGUAUGGUUUAAACCAUCAACUAACUAAAAAGGUAGGGUUCACACAAUACACUAAGCCGCCAUCACUCCUGCCUCCCUAAAAUUAGCCAAGCUUGGCGAGUUUGUUGGGGAAUGCAGGCAUCGGGGCUCGUAGUGUCCUUGUUAAGCAUGUUGUGCAAAUACAGCUGUCCAGCCAUCUGCCCACACUAUAUUCAGCCCAAGGCUAGUGUCUAUAUAGCAAAAGGGUUUAACUGUAUUCCAGACUUCAACCCCUCAUUGGCCAACAAAAACUCAAUAACCACCUUCCAGACAAUGCCCAGCAAGAGUGCCACCAUGCGCUCCAUUCUGCAGCAGCCCAGAAACAGCCUGCAGGCUUGACCUGCUGCUUCUUUCCCUGGCUGACUUGGAUUGAUGUUUCCUUUUGUCCGAGAAUCCACCCCGUGCUGUUCAGUGGACUAGCCUGAUGCAUGGCCACACUGUGUUGCCCUCUUUAAAUAAAAGCAGACCAUCUCCCAUGUCACUUACUUUCUGGCACGAAGCUGCAAGCCAGCCUCCCUCUUCCUGAAAAGUCCCUAGCAUCUGCUGUGGGUCCUUCUUUGUUCAUCAGCUUAAAAUAGAGGAGGCCAACAGAAGUAGCGAGCAGGAGGGAGAAUCUUCCCCAUCACUAACUAUUUCAGAGGCAAACCAGCCUAGGAACCCUUUGUCUGCAGAUCUCUUGGCGGAUUUCUGCAAUCUAAAUGAAUAAAGGAAAGGCACCUUUCGCUUUGUAAUUUCAGUUCUUCCUCUUUGCCUUUGCUGAUUGUAAAGCUGCUUUUCCAAAACCAGCCAGCCUCCUCUCUCGAGCAUCUUUCCACUGCAUUCCACCCAUUCUGAUGACUACACUUGACCUUCAACUCUGUCCUUUGCAUUGUCAGGUUUAUAGCUAAACACGAUAAUGUUUUAUUGCAAAAUGGAGAAGAGGGCAAUGCAGGGUUGUGGUGGUGGUGGUUUUCCAUUUUCCAUACCCCAUCCCAGCAUUACCAUCAUCCCAAGCAUGGCAUUUGUGUUCUUGUGGUUCUUGGUAUAAAUAAAUACCCAAGCAGGAAGACCAAUCUGCGUUCCUCCAGGAAUAAUAAAGAAAAAUAAUAUGCCA
Long non-coding RNA from Candoia aspera, 1681 nucleotides. RefSeq lists it as uncharacterized. The record is from RefSeq and is a predicted model, not a curated record. The transcript has 2 exons. Lineage: Eukaryota; Metazoa; Chordata; Lepidosauria; Squamata; Candoiidae.